This 301-nucleotide ribosomal RNA is filed under the name uncultured bacterium. Its description in RNAcentral is "partial 16S ribosomal RNA". It matches the Rfam family "Bacterial small subunit ribosomal RNA", at positions 509 to 807 of the family's 1533-position model. The record is from RNAcentral.
CAGUCGCCGCGGGAAUACGGAGGGUGCAAGCGUUAUCCGGAUUUAUUGGGUUUAAAGGGUCCGUAGGCGGACUUAUAAGUCAGUGGUGAAAGCCUGUCGCUUAACGAUAGAACUGCCAUUGAUACUGUAAGUCUUGAGUAUAUUUGAGGUAGCUGGAAUAAGUAGUGUAGCGGUGAAAUGCAUAGAUAUUACUUAGAACACCAAUUGCGAAGGCAGGUUACCAAGAUAUAACUGACGCUGAGGGACGAAAGCGUGGGUAGCGAACAGGAUUAGAUACCCCCGUAGUCCCUGUCUCUUAUAC